CCUACGGGCGGCAGCAGUGAGGAAUAUUGGUCAAUGGGCUUACGCCUGAACCAGCCAAGUCGCGUGAGGGAAGACUGUCCUAUGGGUUGUAAACCUCUUUUGUCAGGGAGCAACGCCGGCUACGUGUAGCCGGACUGAGAGUACCUGAAGAAAAAGCAUCGGCUAACUCCGUGCCAGCAGCCGCGGUAAUACGGAGGAUGCGAGCGUUAUCCGGAUUUAGUGGGUUUAAAGGGUGCGUAGGCGGAAUGCCAAGUCAGCGGUAAAAUCGCGGGGCUCAACCCCGUCGUGCCGUUGAAACUGAGGUUCUUGAGUGGGCGAGAAGUAUGCGGAAUGCGUGGUGUAGCGGUGAAAUGCAUAGAUAUCACGCAGAACUCCGAUUGCGAAGGCAGCAUACCGGCGCCCAACUGACGCUGAAGCACGAAAGCGUGGGUAUCGAACAGGAUUAGAUACCCGGGUAGUC
This 460-nucleotide ribosomal RNA is filed under the name uncultured bacterium. RNAcentral's name for it is "partial 16S ribosomal RNA". It matches the Rfam family "Bacterial small subunit ribosomal RNA", at positions 338 to 795 of the family's 1533-position model. The record is from RNAcentral.